This 454-nucleotide long non-coding RNA is filed under the name Olea europaea (common olive). RNAcentral's name for it is "long non-coding RNA (OEUR_LNC015141)". The record is from RNAcentral. Lineage: Eukaryota; Viridiplantae; Streptophyta; Magnoliopsida; Lamiales; Oleaceae.
AUGAAAUUGUAAAUAAUUAAUUUUGAGCUUGCGAAGACGCGGUACGGUAAAAUGUACACAUGGGUUUGUCGGUGUGUGAGGAGGACGCGCCGCUGUCUCUGACAUGGGUUCUGGACACAGUGUGUCUAUUGGGUGGGGUUUGAGGUGGCACGUCACCACUGUACGUAAAUAUUAGAUUAUUGAUAAGUGCAAUUUGUGCAUUUAUUUAUGUCAUUUUGUUAAACUUUUAUGUCGUCAAUUAAAUAAUUUUUAAUUAACUUGGUUUAAUUUUAUGUUGUUUUUAGUGAUGGAUUCAUUCAGAGCAAAAAUUAGCCAUUGGAAGGAGAGUUUGGGAAUCAAAUUCAACACUUUGAAAAUUCAAGGACUUGACUUGAACUAAAGAAAGGCAUUGGUUACAUAAUUAACGGGGUUCAAGGAUUAAAUUGUAUGAUUUUAAAACAAUUGAGGACUUGGA